GGUCGGACCUCAGGGAGGAUGUAUGUAGUGUGUUGUGGUAUGCAUUCGCAUGCAUAUUGUAUACUACACUACAUACUUUGUAAGGGCAGCUGCAGUACAAACUAAAA
This is a long non-coding RNA of Myripristis murdjan (pinecone soldierfish), 107 nucleotides long. RefSeq lists it as uncharacterized. The transcript has 2 exons. Lineage: Eukaryota; Metazoa; Chordata; Actinopteri; Holocentriformes; Holocentridae. The record is from RefSeq and is a predicted model, not a curated record.